Long non-coding RNA from Chelonoidis abingdonii (Abingdon island giant tortoise), 198 nucleotides. RefSeq lists it as uncharacterized. Lineage: Eukaryota; Metazoa; Chordata; Testudines; Testudinidae. The record is from RefSeq and is a predicted model, not a curated record.
CUGCGUCCUGCUGCUUGGGCUGCUCCCAGCCACUUUCGUGCUGUCCCCGCCCUGACUGCUGACUCCGCAGCCAAUGGGAGCUCCCAGCCAAUGGUGCCUGCUGCAGACCCCCGGUCCUCCCCGCCUAGAAGCUGCUGCCGGAGGGGUGUGUUGCCCGAGGAGGAGGAUAAAGGAAAAAAGAAUGAAAAAACAGAGGGA